RNAcentral lists this ribosomal RNA (501 nucleotides) under uncultured Glomeromycotina. Its description in RNAcentral is "partial small subunit ribosomal RNA". It matches the Rfam family "Eukaryotic small subunit ribosomal RNA", at positions 591 to 1092 of the family's 1831-position model. Lineage: Eukaryota; Fungi; Glomeromycota. The record is from RNAcentral.
CCAAUAGCGUAUAUUAGAGUUGUUGCAGUUAAAAAGCUCGUAGUUGAAUUUCGGGAUCAAUACGUCGGUCGUGCUUUCGGGUACGUACUGGCGUCAUUGGUUUCUCCUUUCUGACGAACCGUGAUGUCAUUAAUUUGGUGUUAUGGGGAGUUAGGACUGUUACUUUGAAAAAAUUAGAGUGUUUAAAGCAGGCAUUAGCUUGAAUACAUUAGCAUGGAAUAAUGAAAUAGGACGUUCGAUCCUAUUUUGUUGGUUUCUAGGAUCAACGUAAUGAUUAAUAGGGAUAGUUGGGGGCAUUAGUAUUCAAUUGUCAGAGGUGAAAUUCUUGGAUUUAUUGAAGACUAACUACUGCGAAAGCAUUUGCCAAGGAUGUUUUCAUUAAUCAAGAACGAAAGUUAGGGGAUCGAAGACGAUCAGAUACCGUCGUAGUCUUAACCAUAAACUAUGCCGACUAGGGAUCGGAUGAUGUUAAUUUUUUAAUGACUCAUUCGGCGCCUUACG